AUGUGGCUGAGCAGACUCAACUUUCUGGAAUACCAAAAACAUUGCUGUGUAAGAUUGAUAUUAGAGAUCCCAUUGACAAGGACUACUGCACAGAAAUAGCAAGGAGAUAAAAUUGGCGGGUAGUGUUCGAUGCAUCAGGGAUCGAUUUAUCACAUCUCAUCUGGACGCGAUAAAUUGAUCACCAAAUCGACGCCUGUCAGGAGGAGUAAGUGGAGUCGACGGUGGAGCCACGGCAGUCAACUCGCGCCGUGAGGACAGCCAGGUGGCUCACAAGCAAACAGCUAUGGAAACUGGCAUCAUCUGUGCACUGACAGACAAUGGUGUAAUGAGAAGUGAAAGUGUGGACUGAUGACCAAGUCACUGCGUUACACAGAUCAACAAUUGGUACUCAAGCCAGGAAAUCUGCAGAAGCUGUUUGUGCUCUAGUAGAAUGUGCUGGUUCUGGAGAUGGUGGGGUUUUGUUACACAGUUGGUAGCACAAAUGGAUGCAGAGAGAUCCAGGAGGAGAUU
Long non-coding RNA from Mauremys reevesii (Reeves's turtle), 510 nucleotides. RefSeq lists it as uncharacterized. The transcript has 3 exons. The record is from RefSeq and is a predicted model, not a curated record. Lineage: Eukaryota; Metazoa; Chordata; Testudines; Geoemydidae.